This is a long non-coding RNA of Capsicum annuum, 1047 nucleotides long. RefSeq lists it as uncharacterized. The transcript has 2 exons. The record is from RefSeq and is a predicted model, not a curated record. Lineage: Eukaryota; Viridiplantae; Streptophyta; Magnoliopsida; Solanales; Solanaceae.
UAUAAUUUAUUACUUUUCUUUUUCUUUUUAUCCUUAAAUUAGAUCUGAACUGUCCGAUCAAAUGAUCGGAUGGUUCAAAUUUUAAUCAAAAACAAAUAUCAAAGGACAUUUGUCUCUUCCUACACUUCUUUUCUCUCUGAAAACUCAACCACACAUAUCUCUCCCCCUUUCCCCAAAAAUCAAAGUUCAAUCUCCAUCAAUGCCCAAAAACAACAACACAAACCAUUACUAUUUCUCCUAUUUCUUUCUUCCUCUCCUUCACCCUUCCAAAAUUAGAAAACCCUAUCCUCCGCUAGCCUACCCGAUCUUCCAUUUCCAUCACCCCAAAAUCAUGAAUCCAUAAAUUAGAAAAAUCAAUCCCCUAAAUCGGUAUAACAACAAUUUUUUUUAAAUUCGCCAUUAAUGGCCUAACAAGGCUGGAGAUUCGAAAAGAAUUCGUCUAGGGGAAUUCAAAUUUUAAAUUUUGAAUCACUAUUUCAGAAGUUUUGUGAAUUUUUUAUUUCAAAUCUGAACUUUCAAGUUUGGAUUUGCACCUAUAAAUAUGGUGUUGUCAUUCCAUUGGAAGGGCAUAAAAGGGGUCAAAAAGAGGAGGAGAGAGUGAAGAAAGGUGUGAAAAAAUUAAUGAAAACCCGUGAGAGAGUGAAGAGAAAAACAAAAAAAGGGUGAAAAGAGGGUGGAAGUGCAAAAAAUAGUAAAGAACAAGUUGGGAAAUAAAAAAUCCAUAUGCAAAGUUAUGAAAUCUCUAUUUUAUUUUAUCCAUUUUUAGUCUAGAUUCAAGUUUUGGGGUUUGAGUCCAUGCCAAAAAAUAUCUUGACAUUAUUGCUCCAAUAUGCUUCCCCCUACAAGGAGAACACUUGGAGUUUGAGAAUAAACUCCACCUCUUCCCAAAUUAGAGAAAUGCUCGUCGAUGUCGCACCAUUUUGUAUCUCAUGUUGAGAGAGUCUACCGCUUUCUCCCUUUCUCUAAAGUCUAUAUUGUGUUUAUUAAUACUAUCAUAUGUCUUCGCUAAUAUUAUACUAAUUUGAUAUUUGUGUUUAUUCUGCCUUA